Haliotis rubra (blacklip abalone) is the source of this 2156-nucleotide RNA transcript. It is a transcript of the gene named carcinoembryonic antigen-related cell adhesion molecule 5-like, with no coding region annotated. The record is from RefSeq and is a predicted model, not a curated record. The transcript is spliced from 6 exons. Lineage: Eukaryota; Metazoa; Mollusca; Gastropoda; Lepetellida; Haliotidae.
ACUGCCAUUGUGUGCAUUUGUGUAUACACGUGAAGAGAAGAGAGAAGAGGAGUUAAUUUAAUCGAGAGCUUUUAUGAUCAGAUGAGACGGUAACUUCUGCAGUGAAUGCUGUUCAUCGUUGAAGUCAUGACACGGAGACCGACAAUCUCAGGGUGGCUCUUCACGAUAGGUAUAUUUCUCUCGACAAUACUGCAGUGAUAGUUGUGUGUGCCGUCUUUGGCGUGAUGCUUAUCGCUGGGACUGUGAUUGGUGUAGUCAUAUCCAAAAAGAUGGAGCAGGAAGAUUCCCGAAGAAGUGCUUGACGAGAGGCCCUAUACAACAUUGCAACAUGGAGCGAGUGUCCCACAGGAAUAUGGAGUCACAAGGAACGACAACACACAGGGGACGUGUACGUCACCGUCAACAGAAGUGCUUGACGAUAGGCCCUAUACAACAUUGCAACAUGGAGAGAGUGUUCCACAUGAAUAUGGAGUCAUACGGAACGACACCACACAGGGGACGUGUACGUCACCGUCAACAGAAGUGCUUGAUGAAAGGCCCUAUACAACAUUGCAACUUGGAGCGAGUGUCCCACAUGAAUAUGGAGUCAUUAGGAACGACACCACACAGGGGACGUGUACCUCACCGUUAACAGAUGGGCCAAUCUAUGAAGACUGUCUCACAAACUAAAACCAUUGAUUCAUUGCAACUUAAACAUGUCCUAUCUAUGUGCCUACAAACGAAAAACUGUAUAAAUGAUAUUUUGCAGACUAUUUUUAAAACUUGUAAGUUUCCGGUGUGGAUUCGGUGACACCCUUAGUAUUAACCACUGGAUGAAAAGAUUAAUACGGCGACCACACCCAUGGAUUUUUAUGAACCAGGAUGUGUUUAACAGCAUUUUCAUUUGAAGCAGAUUAUCAGUUACAAUCACACAACCUGUAUGUAUCCUUAUAGGUGCGUGUAUAAAAUAAUACUUUUGACAUGAAAUUAUGAUGCAGUAGAUUAUCAGUUACAAUCACACAACCUUUAUGUAUCCUUAUAGGUGCGGGUAUAAAAUAAUACUUUUGACAUGAAAUUAUGAUGCAGUAGAAUAUAUGUACAUAUAACAGUUUGGAGUAAACUAUACAAAUGUAUCUACAAGGAAAGCCUUUGAUAUUCUUGUUAUGUAUAUCUGUGUUACAAUAAAGUUUCUAUUCUGAUGAGGUGAUAACGGGUCACAUAUAAUCCCGUUUGUUAGUGCUUGUGCUGUGGUGUAAAUGCUUCAACGAAGGGGCAAUGUGAAAACAGUCAGAAAAAAUUAUUCGAGGAAGAUCAUUAAAUUUUGUUGAAACUGUGCAAAUUUCAACAGCUUUGGUUUGAUGCAUUUAGUUGCUCAAACAAUAUUAUGGAUCAUAUUUUACUGAAGGAUAUUAAUGUUGAGUUUAAGGGGGAAUGUACGCACAAAACUCAGUGUUUAUUUUACAUGAAUCACAGCAAAACUGUGAUGAGUAAUUAUUUAGUUUAAUCGACAAUUUCUAUUUUACCUUUUCGAAAGCUAGAAACCUAAACACGUGUGAAAAUGACAAUCUAUUGUGUUUUCAUGAUUAAUAUUUUACUGAAGGACAUUAAAAGUUGUUUUGCGAAGUAUUAACGUGUGAAAAUGACAAUCUGCUGUGUUUUCAAAGUUGAACGGGUCAGGUUUAUCCCCUUAGAUUAUGAUUAACACAGGCUACCUGAUCCUAUGUGUUGUCACAUCGGAAAAAAUGUCAAGUGACCUUUUAUGGCAAGAAGCUAUGGCCUCCGAGGAAACGUCUGAUUCCAUGGAAGUACCCUUUGAGACAUGGCCAAACCAUACAUCUGUGAACCCAGGCGAGGGUUUCCUGAACAUGGAAGUCACGGUACGGAAGCGACGACAUUGACGAAGAUGAGAGCCCUUUAUCUAGUCGGUCGCAUCAUCCAACCUUGUCGAUCAUCGAGGUAACAUCCGAAUACCCAUAAACCUGAUAUUUGAGGUAAACGUCUUGACCAGAUGACCUCAUUGCGAUUUUGCGUCUAAGGAAACAGAUCAGUUAAACAGGGUGUUCUUGGGAAUGCCCACGUGUUUGGCUACGUUUUCAGUCCCAAACACAUGAUGUAGUCAUUUCAAAGACAGAUGUAAUAGAUUGUUUAUACCAUUGUAUAAACAUUUAUUAGUCACA